RNA transcript from Nematostella vectensis (starlet sea anemone), 9952 nucleotides. It is a transcript of the gene named apoptotic protease-activating factor 1, with no coding region annotated. Lineage: Eukaryota; Metazoa; Cnidaria; Anthozoa; Actiniaria; Edwardsiidae. The record is from RefSeq and is a predicted model, not a curated record. The transcript has 5 exons.
UUUUAUCAAUAACACACAAUGACGUUUUCCACAUGAUCGUUUUCUGGCGAUAAGCAAAGUCUAAAUCGGAAAGCUUCUUCUCUGAACGAUCUAUUCCUUUGGGUUUGUUCUUCCAGAUUUAUACGUUAGGUUCAAGUAAUUGCUUAUUCACUGUCAAUCGCAUGUCGAAGAUGAGAAACAGAAUAUGAAACACAGAAAUUGCCGAAAAGCUGGUCGACUUAGACGAUCGCUGUGAAGCCACAUGUGCUUAGUCACUAAAGAGGUUUAAAAAUGUCUGACUUCGGCGAUUGCCACGACGAAAUACUCUCUGAGUUGUCAGGAAGAGAAUUCAAGCGAGUCCGUUUUCUCUUCAAAGAUUUGGUUGACUUUUCUGGCUCCAAGGACUGGCUUAUUGAGUUCAACGAUUACGUUAGAAGCGUCGUGUCAAGGAAUGUCACAAGCAAGGAAAUCACCUGUUUUGUGCGGUGGGCUUUGGGUGUCAUUCGACAGGAUUUUAGUGGGAAGGAGAUCGCGUAUGAUUUCGAUCAUGAAGGUCAUUCCAAUGCCAAGCUGUGUGUUAGUAGCUUUAGGCAUCUACAGGCUAAGCUUGAUUACAAACUGAGAGAAGAAGACAUCCAUAGAAUGAAAUUCCUCUUAGCUGACCUUAUACCUCAGGGGUCGGCAGAACCAGUCACCACAGCUGCAGAGCUCUUUGAGAUACUAGAGCAUCAUGGGUACCUGUCAAACACAGACCUAUCACUGGUCAGAUGGCUUUUGGAGAAGACCCCUAGGAAGGACUUGAUACCUCUGUUGGAAAUCUAUCACUCCCAAAAACGUGGAAGCAAAGUUCCUAGUGCCUAUGGACUGAGGAAACUACCUGUUGACUAUGUCGACCGACAAAGUGACAUUGAAGAUGUUAAGAAACUCCUUCGCUCGGGUGACGCUUCCGUGGGAGUGGUAGACUCUCGGACCAAGUCGCGCACCAGCAACGAGAAAUCCCAGCAAAUAGUAGGCAUUCGUGGUAUGGGGGGUAUCGGAAAAACGGUCCUCACCCAAGCCGUGUGUUGGCAGAUCAAGGAACAGAGACAGGUGAUCUGGCUAACGGUGGGACAAACGCCCGACCUGCUCUCACUUCUUAAUACACUAGCAACUAUCGUUACAGGGAAGACAUGCUCAUUUACUGACGUUGCCAUGGUACAGAACUUUAUAACUGAAAGCACCGCUGAUCGUGACGUCCUCGUCGUGCUGGAUGACGUCUGGGAUGUCAAUCAUGCCGCAGCCUUUGAUGUGUUGAGUGGCACCUGCCAAUUACUCGUCAAUACCCGCAACGCGGAUGUUAUCCAUGGUCUUCGUAGCUCUAAGGUUUAUAAGCUUGGGUCCCUGAGCAUUAAAAAGUCACGUGAAUUGCUCAUGAAAAGUGCACACAAGAAUCUAGAAGAGUUGUCUCAACAAGUUCGACGGCUAGUGGAAGAUAUUCUCAGAGAAUGCGAUGGGCUCCCGUUGGCUUUAGCUCUCGUUGGCUCCAGUCUUAUUGAUGCAAGUCCUACAAGCGUGAGUGACUGGAAAGAUAGGCUAGACGGGCUAAAAGAUGCCGACUUAGAAGAGAUCAAGUCCUGCUUCCCCUCUGAUUCGUACCCAUACGAGAACCUACUCGCUGCGAUUGAAGUAAGCUUUCGUGCUCUACCUCAAGACAAGCAGGAGAAAUUUCUCAGCUUUGCAAUUUUUCCUGAAGAUGAGGAAGUACCUUCCUAUGUGCUGGAGAUGGUGUGGAAACUUCCAGGACGCCAGACAAGGAACUCUUUAUCAUUUUUGGAACGGCGUUCCCUUUUGCUGGAAGGCACGAGAGAAAACAGCUACAUGGUUCACGACGUGCUGUUAGAUUAUCUUCGCGGGCGCAUCAGAGUAGAGAGGAACGAUACUAGUGCCCUAAGAAAUGCCAACCAAGAAUUUUUAGAACUUUACAAGAGCAAGUGUCUAAAUGAAAAAUGGAGCAAUGGUCCUAAAAACGACGUGUAUUUCUUCCAACAUCUGGCCUUUCAUUUGAUGAAGGCAGAGAAGGUGAAAGAACUCGAAGACCUUUUGCUUGACUUUGAGUGGCUCAGAGUCAAAUUGGAUGGGGCUGAUUUGUCGUCCCUGCUAGCAGAUUUCCGAUACCUGGCAGCUGAACAGUCGGGUAAAGAAGAGGUCUUUUUGCUGCGGUCCUCUCUAAUGCUCUCCUCGAAUGUGAUAUCGUCGAGCAAAGAUCAGCUCGGACCUCAGUUAGUUGGAAGACUCCAAGGGUUCAGCUCCAACCAGCGCAUCAACGACAUCCUCAAACAAGUAGUGGAAUGUGAAAGCGGUAUUCUCCCCCUCAGAUGGUGCUUGACCCCCCCUGGAGGGCCCUUAUUAAGAACCAUAGACGGGAGGAGCAGGACGAUCCUUGGCAUUGCAGUGACGCCAGACACCAAGAAGAUUAUUACAGGUGGAGCCGAUGGAAGUAUAAGAGUCUGGGAUUACGAGACUGGCAAGGAACUCAACAAGCUACUAGACCACACAAAGUUGGUGUACACGUUGGCUUUAUCGCCCCACGCAGACUUUCUCGUAUCUGGUGCUUUCGAUCAUACAGUUAAGAUAUGGGACAUGGAUACUUUGUCUUUGGUACGUACUUUAAAAGGCCACAAGAAUUGGGUCAGUGGAGUUCUUGUAACUCCUGAUUCUAAGAGGAUUAUCUCUUCAUCGUACGAUAAGACUGUUAAGAUCUGGGAUGUCGAGACCUGCGCUUUUGUGAAUAGCCUUGAUGGUCAUGAUGGUCAUGUAAGAGGUAUCGCUAUCACUUCCGAUGGGCGCAGGCUCGUCUCCGCGUCACAGGACCGAACUCUAAGAAUCUGGAACCUUGAGACAUUUGCCCACGUGAGUACCCUGCGUGGACAUUCAGAGACUGUGUAUUGCGUGUGCUGUUCGCCCGACGACAAAUUUGCCAUUUCGGGCUCUGAAGACACGAUGGUGAAGAUCUGGGACCUCGAGAGCGCUAAAGAAGUGCGCAGUCUUGUAGGACACACAAGUGAUAUAUUUGCUGUUGCCGUGACCCCAGAUGGGAGCCAAGUAAUCUCUUCAGGUGAUGAUACGCAAGUGAAGGUCUGGUCGCUAGAAAGUGGCGAGGAACUGGCGUCCCUACAUGGUCAUAGCGAGUCGGUACGUAUCGUUACUGUAUCUCCUGACGGACUAACAAUAGUGUCCGGCUCUGAGGAUGCAACGUUCAAGAUAUGGAGAAUUGCUUCCAUGAAUACUAUUUCUCCUGUUCUUGGUCAUAAACGAACCAUAAAUGGAAUGGCGUUAUCGAAGAACGGGGAUUUUUGCGUGACCGGAUCAGAUAAUUCUCUUGUAAAGGUCUGGGACGGAAAAAUCUAUAGUGAGCUGAUGACUUUCUCUGGACAUACGGAUUGUGUCCAGGCAAUAGCACUAUGUCCAGACAGUAGUCUUGCAGCUUCUGGAGGCAAUGAUUGUGUGAUUAAUAUCUGGAAUUUAGCUCCUUUUUUCCGUAAGCUUUCGUUAAAGGAGCAUGAGUACCCUGUUCAAGCCUUGGCGUUUGCAGAGGAGGGAAGAUGUCUGGUUUCCGCCGCGCAAGACGACUGCAUCAUUGCAUGGGAUGCACAGCAAGGGCUACCGCUUGUGAAAGUCUUCGCACCUGUUCAUGAUAUUCUCGGGGUUGAAAUGAACUCAGGCGAGCUGACUUGCUACAACAGACGAAGACACAUAUGGAAGUGCAAGCUCGAUUUAUCAUCGCGUAGUCCUCAUCGCUCUAACAAUAGCACUUCUGCUAAUGAUGAUGCGACUGGUGAUGAUGAUGAGAAUGGUAAUGAUGAUGGUGGUGAUAAUGAUGAUGGUGUUGAUGGUGACAAGAGAACGACAGAAAUUGCAGCUGUAUCCGAUCAUUCUGUUGCGCCUUCUCGAUCUUUCUGGAAUCCUGACUUUCCUGUCCAGGAAGGACCUGACAGCGGCUCCCACCCAGCGCUGAUGAUUCGAAACGGAACAAGACUUCUUCUAGGCAGUGUCAUGAGUAAGGCCGCUCUGCGUCUCAUAGACGUUGAGACUGGCAUGGACAUUGGCCUGUGUAUAGACACUGACGCGAGGUCCAUCGUGACUUCCUUGGUAGUUACGAAGGAUGAAAAAGAGGUAUUUGUUGGCACUGAUCGCGGAAGGGUUGUCAAGAUGGACAUCGACUCUGACGGCAUUGUACAGGUGUACCAGCACUCUGCUAUGCAAGAGGUUAAUGCUGUUGCGCUUGCUUGUGAAGACCGCUCUUUAUUGACGGCAGACACAAGCGGGAAAAUUCUCCAGUGGAACGUGGCGACAGCGGAGCAUAAACUAGUCCUUGAUUUCGACCAGAGCAAGGUAAACUCUGGUUGUGCUGUUGCUGAAACUUCUGCGGCAUUUUGUGAUAGUACAGGUCGUCUCCAUGUGGUAUGCGUGUCUCGAGGUAUCAGCGUUACCAUCGAUGCGCACGAACACGCUGUGCAUGCCGUUGCAUACAACGCCGCUGUUGAUUACCUGAUCACGGGUUCUCGCCAUGAGCAUGUGAUCAAAGGCUGGCGUGUGUGUAUCAGUGAGAGUGCGAUCACGUGCAAGUUGGUCUUCUCGAUCAACAGCAAUCACGACUCUGGUGUUCGAACUCUAACCUGGUCUCCGGAUGGGUUAUCACUCUACUCGGCCUCCACUGAUAAUAAGAUAGCCCACUGGGACGUCACUGAACCAAGCUAUUCGCAGAGACAAAACGAGAUCAAGGCUUCUAGUUUCGGCAUAAGUUACCUCUAUGCCGACAACGAACGACUGAUCGCAACAUUUGACGACGCUCAUGUUAUCACAUGGGACAUCAAGUCACGUGAGGUCAUCAGGUCAGCCAAUGGGCAUUGGGGGCGAUACAACGUGGUCAGCUUCUUUCCACAGGGAGACCAAGUCGUGUCGAAUGGACAUCACUUCACACUGAAACAAUGGGACUUGGGAAGCGGACGAAUUAAGCACAUAUACCCACACAGCAACGAAAUAACCACAUUAUGCGUACUACCCUGUGGGCGUUACCUAGUAACUGGAUCACGUGACAAGAUAUUGCGCCUAUGGGAGGCUGGGAAUCCAGAAUGCGUCAGCAGAUUCUACUUUGAGCACAUUCCGCAGACCGUAGCGUGCAGUGAGGCUGGGGGAGUUUGCGUCGGGCUGACUAACGGCCAGGUGUGCUUUAUGGAGCUUCGCGUCUAGGUGCAAUAAUGGUGGUCUGUCUUGGACGCGUAGAAUUGUCUGAUGGCAGAGAUAAUACUCGACUUGCUGGAACCGUGACAUGAUUUCAGUGAAAGACUGAUGGCGCUAUGGUGUCCUUUUGGACAAGAAAUUCAGAAAAUGAAAAUUCACAAGAGAGAAGGAACGAAAUUUACAGAGCCGUAAUGUUAAAGAUGUCUUGUUUAUUCUUCUAAAAGUAAUACUUAGCUUCGUCAGCUUUUCGGUUUAUUUAAAGACUGAAGAGCCAAAAUGAACUAUUUUUAAGACAGCAAGUUUGCUCACCCUCCAGUGCCAUAUAGGUAGGAAUUUCGAAUAAAAAAAUCUACUAGCGCUCUUGCUUCGACAACGCUGACCUCUCCUAGAAUAGAAGGCUUUUCAAAUGUUAAAAUCAAUUGUUAAUAUUUUUUAAUUGGAAGCCCUUGAACCGCUUUCGUAACAAAAGUUGAUCUUAUGUCUUUUGUGAAGCGAUUUUCUUUCAUUGUAAAGUACGGAUUUAGCCGAAGAACCGUUUCCGUCAAUCUUCCCUGCCGAUAUUUGACAGUUUGGGAAAGAGAAGAAAGAAAAUGUAUCCCUAAAACGUGUCGGGAAAGGAUGGAGCAGAAAAGGGGUUCUUAAGGCACGUGUCCACAUGAACGGCUGUCUGAAUCCAGACAACGUUUGAAUGUAUUUUCCACUGUGGUGGUUUUGCGGCUAAUGAUACGAUCUCACUCAUAAGCAUGUCCUAGCUUUGUAGUCCUAAUUGAUGUAAUUGGUCGAUUCUCGAAGUGAAAUUAAGAAAAACACAAGUUAAUGUCUUUCUUCUAAAAGUAAAAGUGAGUAAAAUAGAGGCGCGGAUUGUGUUGGAACCUCAUACAUUUGUAAUAAGAACUUACUUGGAACCACAGCAUAAGGAGUGCAAAUUUAACCUUUCUUUGGAGCCUUCAUGAUAGACAAUAUCCAUGAAAGGCUACGGGUCUAUGGCGAAAUCAUUUAGCUGUUUUGGACGAAUGAAAAACAUGAAAUACUUCUCUCUUGCGUCUUUUCCAAUUGCUUAGUCAAGUUACGCAAUGAGAUUCAGAACGUGAAAAAUGCGCUUGUGUUUCGUUUACUUUUCAGCUCUUUCCGGCUUUUCUAAAAUGCGUCUUUAAUGGGUUUAGCGGUACCCUCACAAGAAGAGGGUCCUCGCUUAAGGAAUAUUGCUAAGUACACACUAGAUCCACCAUGUAUCCGUUUUACAGUGAACCGAAAAGAGCCGACUUUUGUAAGCUACUUCCUGAAAAACCCCAAUCCCCAUUCAAAGUCGAAUUUGUAUUACGCAAAGGCAAACAAAUAGUGGUCUUUCGAAGCACGAUUCAGAACCCACAAAUUAUCCAUUACCCUUACCGCCUUAUCCAUUUUUCUCGUAAAAAGAACGAGUAACAAAAAGCUUAUUAAUUCAUUAAUUCACUGAAGUUUGCCCAAAAAGGUCAGGCGCCUUUAAAAAAAACUUAACAUGAGGACUUAAAACCAACACAGCUUUGACAUUGACGACCAAUAUUUAGGUGAAUGGUGCCGUCAGAAAGCGUUUUAAAUAAGAUUAGCGAGUGACGUGAUGUUUUGAAGAGAAAGAAAUUCAAAUUGCACCUCAUCAAAUGUGGUUAAGCCAUUUUUUUUGCCCCAUCAUCACGAUCCCUUUAAGGUUCAUCCCUCGAAUUACCUGCCAUCCUCUCUGCUAACACCAGUGCAUCGUUUGCCGAAAAGAUGCUGAUCUUUACACUGCCUUAUCAAUUAGCAGUACCUCUCGCAUCAAGCAGACUCGUCACCUAAUAACACCGACCACUGAUUGGACAAACCAGCUGGUACGUCACCUACUUACACGACCACUGAUUGGUCAAACCAGUUGGCACGUCACCUACUAAAACGACCACUGAUUGGUCAAACCAGUUGGCACGUCACCUACUAAUACGUCCACUGAUUGGUCAAACCAACUGGCACGUCACCUAUAAGACGUCCACUAAUUGGUCAAACCAGCUAGCACAUCACCUACUAACACGUCCACUGAUUGGUCAAACCAACUGGCACGUCACCUAUAAGACGUCCACUACUAACACGACCACUGAUUGGUCAAACCAGCUGGUACGUCACCUAUAAGACGUCCACUAAUUGGUCAAACCAGCUAGCACAUCACCUACUAACACGUCCACUGAUUGGUCAAACCAACUGGCACGUCACCUAUAAGACGUCCACUACUAACACGACUACUGAUUGGUCAAACCAGCUGGCACGCCACCUACUUACACGAACACUGAUUGGUCAAACCAGCUAGCAUGUCACCUACUAACACGUCCAUUGAUUGGUCAAACCAGCAAACACGUGCACUGAAAAAAAUGAUGCCAUUUUAAUAUUUACUAUCUAAGUUGAUGGUGUGAAUCUGAGAUAUUUUGGGAGCAGAAUUGCCAAACCUAUCAUUUCCUGGCUUUCAUUCAAUAUCACAUCAACAUUUAACGGCGCCAUGUUGAAUUUCGUUGCUCUAAUAUCGUCCCAUCAUGCUGCUCCACAACUCGACCCAGUCCCCCGCGCAUAGCAAGAAUUGCGAAUUACAACGUUUGUUGGUCAAACCAGCAUUCACUGAUUGGUCUAACAAAAAAUGACUUACUCUUCCACUGAAAAAGUAGGCCAGUAUCGCCUUGCCUUAUUACACAUCUGCUUGUUGGUCAGCCAUUCACAGAUUGGACAAAAGCGCAUUACAUUCAUUGACUGGUCAGACAAGCAGCGACGUUAUUCUUAAGGUUAUUUAUCUUUUGGUCAAACCGGUAAAGUUAAUGCUGAUUUAGACAGCAUGAUUUAGUCGUGUGCGUCUUAGCAGUGUAUUACAUUCCUACGAUUUCGUAGUCGAGCGUCGUUGCGUAGUCGAAGGCUAAUUUACAUUCUACGACUUGGGUGUAGAGGUGUCGUGGGCAUGUCGUAUACGACUGAAUCGUGCUGUUUAAAUCACUGGGGCACUGCGCCCCCCCCCCCCCCCCCCACAUAUUUAAAUAUAUAUAUAAGGAAAUAACCAGGAGGGGCGUGGCCGUGCCCCCAAAUAUUUUCUUAAUGACUUAAUGAUUCUGUUAUGUCCCCCCUCCCCCCAAUCUUAAGUGGCCUGCUACGGCGCUGAUCAGCCUGAAAAAAGAUUUAUUAAAUCGUUUUUAUUCAAUUCAUUUAUAUAAUAUAACUAAGUAAGAGUUUUGAAUUUGAUAUUUAAAAUAAUAUAACUAUAAAUUUCUAUAGCAAAAUGCUUGUAAGCAAUGAAAUAAUAAUAUACCUUUAGACACUAUUCGCGCUAAAAUCGGACAAUGGCUGUUGAAGACUCUCUAUUAGCCGCCAUUUUGCCAGAUGCAAUCUCCACAUUCAACUGAUUGGUCAAACCAACAAUGCACCACACUCACCAUACCGAAGUAGGGGGUGGUAAAAAUCCGCUUUUACUUUUUAUACUCUCGGCAUUGAUUAGUCCAGUGUUUGAUAAAGUUGAGCAACACUUGGGCCUUCUGUAAGUUCCCUCCAUACCCGAAAUGGAGACCGUCAAGACUUUUGAUUCCAGUCGUCAUAGGGUAAAAAUCCAACACAGGGACCCCCCUAGAGCGGCAAUACUCCGCCAUUUUAUCAUUAUACACUCUCCAGGGGUGAAAAGUUUUGAUCGUCGAAGAUCGCAAAAAGUUGUUAACACUGUGCAAGUUAUGCCAAAUUACUCGUGGCCAUCCGUUACCUUUUUCUUCGAUCAUAUCAAGAAGUGGACCUAAAUACCUCUUGAUAACAAUCCUUGGGUUUCUUUUCAUAUGUAGUCCAACAUUGACCACUAUCACGGAACCUGUCUUGUUUAAAAGACCUCUUACUGUCUUGUGCGCUUCAACGGGGCUGUAAUAAGCCUCGACGAGAGAAAACUUAAAAUGCGCCCGCCCGCCACACACCUGUGUGCGGUCUAAAUCAUCCCAGGCAUGCGCAAUUGCAAGCUGGCAAUCGAAUUUUCCGUUGUCAAUGAACUGGUACUCGCCUUUGCACUUCUCGUGUAGCUUCGUAUCCAUUUUGUGUGAGCCUGUUUCUUUGUUACCAGUCAAAAGAAUCGCCAUGGCUGUGAAGAAAUGCCGCGUUAUGGAAUCACCAAUAAAAACCAACUCGUUCAAGCUCGAGUCAAGUAAAUCACAAGCCAAAGUCUGAUCGAAAACUUUGAAUUUACACCGUUUACUAGAAGGAACCCACUGUGCAGACUCUGCGUCUAAGUAUCGCGAGAAAUCAGUGCACAUUUCGCAUGCGCAGUAGUCUCUUCCGCUCCCACAUGUGCCAGAGUUCUCGUUACAACAUGGCGUAGCGCUGACAGAAUCACACAGGGCACCCAACUUUGUACUCCCCGGAGCAGUUACAUUCUCACCACACCUCCCAUCCUCUCGAUGCAGUAUUCGGGGGAAUCCUAAGUAUUCAUGAACUUCCUGCUCUAACUCUCUACGCCUUUUGUGAUCCUCUUUUGAGGUUCCCUCCCUCAAAACCCAUGAGCCCUCUGUCAAACAGGUCAGCGUUUUCUCGCACUCCUCUGUGCUAAGAUGCUGUCGUGUUUCUUGAGGUAGCUCGUUACCGGAGACAAACAGAGCACGUUUAAACUCGACGUCCUGAUUUUUUAGUUUAACAAAGAGAAGUCCAUAUAUAACAACAGCGAAGAGAAUCACUGUGGCAACGCUGGUCUUUGCGGAAAGCUUGAAGAACUGUCUGAAGCAAACGGCCAUAAUAAGUCUGUACC